Molecule: non-coding RNA, 21 nt
Filed under: Arabidopsis thaliana (thale cress)
Lineage: Eukaryota; Viridiplantae; Streptophyta; Magnoliopsida; Brassicales; Brassicaceae
Source: RNAcentral
AUACUUUUCUCCUGCACGUAC